GGGUGCAAUCAUACCAGCACUAAUGCACCAAAUCCCAUCAGAACUCCGAAGUUAAGUGUGCUUGGGCGAGAGUAGUACUAGGAUGGGUGACCUCCUGGGAAGUCCUCGUGUUGCACCCC
This 119-nucleotide ribosomal RNA is filed under the name Eucalyptus grandis. The record is from RNAcentral. Lineage: Eukaryota; Viridiplantae; Streptophyta; Magnoliopsida; Myrtales; Myrtaceae.